GAUGAACGCUAGCUACAGGCUUAACACAUGCAAGUCGAGGGGCAGCGGGAUUGAAGCUUGCUUCAAUUGCCGGCGACCGGCGCACGGGUGAGUAACGCGUAUCCAACCUUCCGUACACUCAGGGAUAGCCUUUCGAAAGAAAGAUUAAUACCUGAUGGUAUCUUAAGCACACAUGUAAUUAAGAUUAAAGAUUUAUCGGUGUACGAUGGGGAUGCGUUCCAUUAGGUAGUAGGCGGGGUAACGGCCCACCUAGCCAACGAUGGAUAGGGGUUCUGAGAGGAAGGUCCCCCACAUUGGAACUGAGACACGGUCCAAAACUCCUACGGGAGGCAGCAGUGAGGAAUAUUGGUCAAUGGACGAGAGUCUGAACCAGCCAACGUAAGCGUGAA
Molecule: ribosomal RNA, 389 nt
Filed under: uncultured bacterium
Lineage: Bacteria
Description: bacterial SSU rRNA
Rfam family: Bacterial small subunit ribosomal RNA
Source: RNAcentral